AUACAGAGGGUGCAAGCGUUGUUCGGAAUUACUGGGCGUAAAGCGCUCGUAGGCGGCUUGUUAAGUCGGAUGUGAAAUCCCCGGGCUCAACCUGGGAACUGCAUUCGAUACUGGCAAGUUAGAGUAUAGUAGAGGCAAGUGGAAUGCUUGGUGUAGAGGUGAAAUUCGUAGAUAUCAAGCGGAACACCGGUGGCGAAGGCGGCUUUCUGGACGAUUACUGACGCUGAGGUGCGAAAGCGUGGGGAGCAAACAGGAUUAGAUACCCCAGUAGUAC
This 274-nucleotide ribosomal RNA is filed under the name uncultured bacterium. RNAcentral describes it as "partial 16S ribosomal RNA". It matches the Rfam family "Bacterial small subunit ribosomal RNA", at positions 523 to 796 of the family's 1533-position model. The record is from RNAcentral.